AUGUCCCGCCCCGACGCCGCCUCCCUCCUCUCCCCCUCGCCUCCGCCGUUCAAGCCCCAUCGCCGCGGCCGCUUCCUCCCCUCCAUACUCGCCGCCCUCGCCGCGGCCGCCGCUCUCCUCCUCCUGGCCGUCCUCCGCUCGCCGCCGACCCCGUCCCCCAACCUCGGCUCCCUCUUCCUCUCCCUCGGCUCCAACAACACCGCCGCCUCCCACCUCCGCGCGCUCACCCUGCACCCCCACGUCGCCGGCACCAAGGCCAACUCCCUCACCGCCGCCUACGUCCUCCACGCCUUCUCCUCCCUCUCCAUCCCGUCGCACAUCACGCCCUACUCCGUCCUCCUCUCCUACCCCGUCCACCGCUCCCUCUCCCUCUCCGCGGGGCCCGGCCGCGCCGCCAAGCCCUUCUCCCUCACCCAGGACACCUACCCCAGCGACCCCUACGCGCGCGCCGCGGCCGAGGUGACCCCGACCUUCUUCGCCUACUCCGCCUCCGGGUCGGUGUCCGCGGAGGCCGUGUACGCCAACUACGGCCGCGAGGAGGACUUCGCCUACCUCGCCUCCCGCGGGGUCGACGUCGCGGGAAAGGUGGCGCUCGCGCGGUACGGGAGGAUCCACUGCGAGGACAUCGUGCACAACGCGCGCGCGGCGGGCGCCGCGGCCGCGCUGGUGUACCCCGACCCGCUGGAGUACGGCGGCCCGGCCGGGGAGGGGACGUUCCCCGACUCGCGGUGGCUGCCCCCGAGCGGCGUGCAGGUGGGGAGCCUGUUCCGGGGCGUGGGCGACCCGACGACGCCGAUGUGGGCGUCGUCCGAGGGGUGCGAGCGCGUGAGCGUGGAGGACGCCAUGGCCACCGACGACAUGCCGGGCAUCCCGGCGCUCCCGGUGUCGGCGCGGGACGCGGCGGAGAUCCAGCGGGUCCUGGGCGGGGCCGAGGCGCCGGCGGGCUGGCAGGGCCGGGACGGCAGCCCCGCGUACCGGCUUGGCCCAGGGCCGGCCGUGCUGAACCUGACGUAUCAAGGCAAUGAUACGAUGGCGACGAUUGAGAAUGUCUUCGCGGUGAUCGAAGGCGCAGAAGAGCCGGACAGAUAUGUUAUCCUGGGAAACCAUCGCGAUGCCUGGACGUUCGGAGCCGCCGACCCCAACAGCGGAACAGCAGCUAUGAUCGAGCUAGCACAAAGGUUUUCGAUGCUGCAAAAGCAAGGGUGGAGACCUCGAAGGACAAUCAUUUUCUGUAGCUGGGAUGCAGAAGAGUACGGAUUGACAGGAUCAACUGAAUGGGUUGAAGAAAACAGGGAGAUGCUUUCCUCAAGAGCUGUUGCAUAUCUGAAUAUUGAUGUUUCGGUAGUCGGUCCGGUUUUACUCCCAUCUACAACUCCCCAACUGGAUGAGCUACUCCUUGAAACAAUGAAACUGGUUCAAGAUCCCGACAACUCAUCUCAGACGGUGUAUGAUGCAUGGGUCAAAUCCAAUGCUUCUCCCAAGAUUCAACGACUGGGCAAUGGAGGAUCAGACUAUGCAGCAUUCGUUCAACAUGUUGGCAUUCCAUCAACCAACUUGAUAUUUGGAGAAGGGCCAGGAUAUCCUGUUUACCACUCUUUAUACGAUGAUUUUGUAUGGGUGGAGAAGUUCGCGGACCCUGGGUUCCGUAGGCAUGUCGCAGCUGCUAGCAUCUGGGGAAUUAUGGCUUUGAGACUUGCUGACGAAGAGAUCAUACCGUUCGAUUACAUGUCCUACACCACCGAGCUUGAGGCAUACACAAAAGUAGUAGAGAAGGAAACCGAGGGGACGGCUGUCAGUUGCUCCCCGUUGUACAACUCAAUCAGAGCUCUGAAAAAGGCAGCUACCAAAGUUAACAGCGAGCGAAAGGAAAUUCAAAGGGAGCUGUCAAGCAAGCAGCUGAGCAAGGGCUCGAUGAAGAUCCGGGGGCUUAACGACCGGCUCAUGCAGGCAGAGCGAGCCUUCACUAACCGGGAAGGCAUCUUCAAGCAAGCCUGGUACAAGCAUCUGAUCUACGGACCAUCGGAGCAGAACGACUGGGACACCGCGUCGUAUCCUGGUAUAGCCGACGCCAUAGCCACCGCGAGGAGCAGCAACACCUCGGCGUCCUGGAAGCUGGUGCAGCACGAGGUUCACAGGGUCGCCAGGGCCGUGGCACAAGCAUCCGCCGUGCUCAGCGGAAGCCUCACAUGA
This 2190-nucleotide ribosomal RNA is filed under the name Triticum aestivum (bread wheat). RNAcentral's name for it is "partial small subunit ribosomal RNA". The record is from RNAcentral. Lineage: Eukaryota; Viridiplantae; Streptophyta; Magnoliopsida; Poales; Poaceae.